RNAcentral lists this transfer RNA (73 nucleotides) under bacterium. RNAcentral describes it as "tRNA-Ala". It matches the Rfam family "tRNA". From Rfam's summary of the family: Transfer RNA (tRNA) molecules are approximately 80 nucleotides in length. Their secondary structure includes four short double-helical elements and three loops (D, anti-codon, and T loops). Further hydrogen bonds mediate the characteristic L-shaped molecular structure. tRNAs have two regions of fundamental functional importance: the anti-codon, which is responsible for specific mRNA codon recognition, and the 3' end, to which the tRNAs corresponding amino acid is attached (by aminoacyl-tRNA synthetases). tRNAs cope with the degeneracy of the genetic code in two manners: having more than one tRNA (with a specific anti-codon) for a particular amino acid; and 'wobble' base-pairing, i.e. permitting non-standard base-pairing at the 3rd anti-codon position. RNAcentral also lists the same sequence under 11 other names. The record is from RNAcentral.
GGGGGCGUAGCUCAGUUGGGAGAGCGCUUGAAUGGCAUUCAAGAGGUCAGGGGUUCGAUUCCCCUCGUCUCCA